GAUCCUGGCUCAGAGUGAACGCUGGCGGUAGGCCUAACACAUGCAAGUCGAACGGCAGCACAGUAAGAGCUUGCUCUUAUGGGUGGCGAGUGGCGGACGGGUGAGGAAUACAUCGGAAUCUACCUUUUCGUGGGGGAUAACGUAGGGAAACUUACGCUAAUACCGCAUACGACCUCGGUGAAGACAGGGGACCGUUCGGGCCGUUCGUCGCGGAUAGAUGAGCCGAUGUCGGAGUUAGCUAGUUGGUCGGGGUAAA
Molecule: ribosomal RNA, 256 nt
Filed under: uncultured bacterium
Lineage: Bacteria
Description: partial 16S ribosomal RNA
Rfam family: Bacterial small subunit ribosomal RNA
Source: RNAcentral